Molecule: long non-coding RNA, 3218 nt
Organism: Passer domesticus (house sparrow)
Lineage: Eukaryota; Metazoa; Chordata; Aves; Passeriformes; Passeridae
Exons: 5
Source: RefSeq, a predicted model, not a curated record
GAUGGAUCUCUCCUCUAUACCAGAAUACUUUUGAGGAGCCCUUGAAGAAUUUUAGAACCCUUGUAGAGUAACAAAGGAAGAAAAUACACUAUUGGGGACAAAAAAGUCUUUCAUAUCUGCUUGCUCACCAUUAUCAGUCAUCUCUGUGAUUGUAAAGCCUGGAAGAUGUUUACCUAGAGCACCUGAGCAGAUAAAAACCAACACAUUUGUUCCAUCUCCUGUGGAAGGGAUCCCGUGCUGGAACAGGGUAAGAGUGUGAGUCCUUCUGAGGAAGAAGGAGUGGCAGACAUGUGAUGAGCUGACCAUAGCCCCUGUGCCCUGUCCUGCUGCAUCUCUAGUGGGGAAGAAAUAGAGAAAACUGUGAGAAAAGCCUGGGAAGAAGAGAGGGAUGCAGGGCAAGAUGACAGAAUGCAGAGAAUCUACAGCACACAUCACAUCAUCAGAUGGAAGCUGGGCAUGCUGGUGGUGCUCCUGAAGAGCCUCUACUCUGAGCAGAAUCUGCACCCAAGGGCUGGAUGUCUAAGCUCAUCACAUAACACCAGCAGCAACUUGUAAUUUAACAGAGUGAGAAGGUUACUAUUCGCCUCAGAAGACAUGCAAAAACUUUCCCUGGUAUCUCAGCUUCUCCAGAGCUCUGAAUAGUAAUUCUGGAUUGAUAAGAGACAUCUUUUCCCACAGAUCUUCAUAAAGGAAAACCUGCAAAAAAAUCACCUUUAUGUGCUACAAUCUGCAGACUUAGCUGAAUUUUACUAGAAGCUGAGUAUGCUCAACAAAAGAAGAAAACAAUCAAUGUACUUCAAAAUCAGAAUCUAGGUAAAAUGUGAUGAAAGCAAGAGGCGUCAAGUUGCAAUGGGAGAUUUAAGUUGGAUAUUAAAAAAAUAUUUCUUUCCCUGAAAGUGUUGUCAAGCACUGGAACAGGUGCUCAGGGCGAGGGCUGGAUCACCAUCCCUGGAGGUAUUUAAAAGAUGUGUAGAUAUGUAGGCACUUGGGACACAAGUGGUGGACCUGGCAGUGCUGUGUUAAUGGAUGAACUCAAUAAUCUUAGGGGACCUUUGUAUCCUAAACAAUUCUAUGAUUCUAUGAGUCUGUGACUUACUCAACAAUAAAACAGAAGUGUAUAAGAAGGUUGGUUGCUUGAAGGUGAUGAACCUGAUAUGUGUUUUUUAAAGGCAAAAUCUUAACUUCAGUGCUAUUAAAUGAGGGCUUUGACUCCUUGUUUUUUUAUUUUCAUUAUUGUUUGGUUGUUUUUUUAACAAUGGAACACUACUGUGAAUUCAGUGCAGUUAAUACUGGAGAUAAAACUGGUUCUGUUUGCAAUUGAUGUUAUCUAAUAUGUUUCCCUGGGACUAAGAAAAGUAUUAAGAAAAAUAAAAAUGACACCAGAGUCUAUUACAACCCAACUGCAAAUGAUUUGUUCAUAGAAUUAUGAAAGAUGAAUCAACCAGUCUAAAAUAAAAACAUUUCAGUUCUUAUCUGUGGACUGAUGCUACCAUUGUGAGUAGCUUCUAGAAGAUUUUUAACUGCAGCACAGCAAUUUUAUGAAGCCAACUGCAGAACAAUUUAUACAUGAUAUAUAGCUCAAUUUUUGCAAAACAUUUGUCAGAUGACAUGUCAAUCACAGCAUGCUAGUCAAUGUUCAGAAGGAGAAAUUCAAUCUUCAUAUCUUAAAAUACCACAAAGAAAGAACAAAGGAAGAUGGAUGGGGGAAAAUAAAAGGAUAGGAAUGAAAUUUUGCAAUGAAUUAUUUUUCUUUGCUUCAUUCUCUGUCUCCUUUGUUUCUUCUUUUUUCAUGUACCUUUCUUUGUCCCUUGAUUUUUCCUUCAUCUUGCUGUUGUAUUUUUUAUUAAUAGCAUACUAUUAUUGUGCCUGAAUCUUUCCAAGUUCUUUCUAGAGGCUGUUUCUCAUAGCAAAUAAAAGAUAAAAGCUAGCUGUGUUGCACAUUUCUCCUCUGAUUUCUUUCAUGUUUGGACUUCUUUUCAAAAAUAUUAAUAAUUAUAAUGCUCUACUACUAUCUCUAUCUUGUCUAUUCUUUGUCUAAUUGUCAUCUUUUUUCUCUGACUUCAGAGAUCCAGGAGGCUAAACUGAUGUCUUGGCUUUUUAAAGCCUGUAUUUAAUUCUCUGGCCAUGAAACAGUUUUAAAUUAAAACAAUGAGUUUUAUAAUACUUCUUUCAAUGGCAAAAUUUUUAAAGACUUGAAGAUUUUGGGUGACAAAACAUGACCCCAUGGAGCACAGGUCCUCAUCUAUUGCAUGUUAAAUAGAAUUAUUGGGAAAUGUCACACAUUACCAAAUCAUUAUCACAAAAACUGUUGGUGAUACUGAGACUAGUUAGGAGAAAAUUAUAGUCUCUGGAAUGUCUUGGUUAGUAAGUAAGUUAGAUAUCAAACCACAGACAGAAAAAGGGUUUGCAAUGAAGCAGUACAUUUUUGGAAAUCUCUAUACCCAGUAGCUGAGACCAAAGCUAUAUAAAGUGACUAAUGUAGUUUUACAAGUGAACAAAACUCAGUGACAGUGGAGGCAAUGCACUUUGACAUAAUAGAUUAAUUUCUUAUUAAUAUAUAUCUUCAUGAUGCAUGUGAAUUUGCAGAAUAUCUCAAGUGCUAAAUUCAGAAGUUUUGGGCUCCCAGUUUUGUCCUGUGCCCAAUUUCUGUUGAGAUUGUCAGUGUAGACAGUCAAAUUUUAAGGCCCAGUUCUGCUUUAGUAUCACCUCUCAAUAGUUAAUCAUCUUAUGAUUUGAGAAGGCAAAAUUCUAUUGAAUACAUAUCCAGCACAGAUUAUGAGAAUAUGUUCUGAUGUAGGUUGCAUAUGCAUUUAUGUUUGUUCAUUUGACAUGAGGGACUCUCAGUUUCCUUCUAAUCUUUUACCUGCAUUGGUGCAAAAGCAAAAUGACCUGUCCAUAUAGACCAAGGUACUGUCAUAGAAAGUUUUAUCACCUGGUAUCAAGUAAAGAUGAGUUUUUAAUUAUCUAAAUAUACAGUAAUCUAUGUUUUAUUGAUUACUUAGGCCUAGAUUCACAGAUCUGUUUGCUUCAGGAGGUGCAUUUGUUUUUGUCCUUUGUGCUUUUAUUUCCCAAUUUCUGUUCUGCAUCUUUGUCACUCCCACCUAUGUUAUCAGAAACCAUUUCUGACAUUUUUUAGAUGUUAUCAUUAAAUAUGUCAGAUUCAGCACUUCCUUUAUAAUUACUGAUGUCACUUAUAAUUUUUAUUCAUAUAAGUUCAG